UACAGAGGUCUCGAGCGUUGUUCGGAAUUACUGGGCGUAAAGGGCGCGUAGGCGGCCUUCUAAGUCGAACGUGAAAUCCCCGGGCUCAACCCGGGAACUGCGUCCGAUACUGGAAGACUUGAAUCCGGGAGAGGGAUGUGGAAUUCCAGGUGUAGCGGUGAAAUGCGUAGAUAUCUGGAGGAACACCGGUGGCGAAGGCGACAUCCUGGACCGGUAUUGACGCUGAGGCGCGAAAGCCAGGGGAGCAAACGGG
This 253-nucleotide ribosomal RNA is filed under the name uncultured bacterium. RNAcentral describes it as "partial 16S ribosomal RNA". It matches the Rfam family "Bacterial small subunit ribosomal RNA", at positions 524 to 776 of the family's 1533-position model. The record is from RNAcentral.